GCUUCUCCGUCAGCGGGGUGUUCAAGGAAGUGGAAGGAAGUUCUCAGGGCUGUGUGCGUGCCUUCACCCGGACCUUCAUCGCUACCCCUGCCGGCUACGCCAGUCUGUGCAUCGUGAAUGACGAGCUGUUUGUGAGGGAUGCCGACCCCAGUGAGACCCGGAGUGUGUUCUCCAUCCCACUGCCUACACCCACCUCCAGCUCCAUGCACCCCCUCUCCCAGCAGCAG
Molecule: non-coding RNA, 227 nt
Organism: Delphinapterus leucas (beluga whale)
Lineage: Eukaryota; Metazoa; Chordata; Mammalia; Artiodactyla; Monodontidae
Source: RefSeq, a predicted model, not a curated record